RNAcentral lists this unclassified non-coding RNA (200 nucleotides) under soil metagenome. Its description in RNAcentral is "partial contains internal transcribed spacer 2 and large subunit ribosomal RNA". The record is from RNAcentral.
ACAUUACUUGACUGGUAGAAGACGUUUGUACUAACUAUGUUGUCGAAAAGCUAUGAAUGAGGCGAAAGUUUCUUUUGGCAGAGUAGACAAGUAAGCUGGGAGUUUAUCUGGCAGGUAGAGUUCAUACCUUAUAGGCGCUGGGUAAUACCAGUGAUCUGAACCAAGGUCUCAAAUCAGGUAGGAAGACCCGCUGAACUUAA